UGUGGGUCUCUUUCUUGUCCAU
Molecule: microRNA, 22 nt
Filed under: Schistosoma mansoni
Lineage: Eukaryota; Metazoa; Platyhelminthes; Trematoda; Strigeidida; Schistosomatidae
Description: sma-miR-61-5p
Gene: sma-miR-61-5p
Source: miRBase by way of RNAcentral